This 456-nucleotide ribosomal RNA is filed under the name uncultured bacterium. RNAcentral describes it as "bacterial SSU rRNA". It matches the Rfam family "Bacterial small subunit ribosomal RNA", at positions 8 to 467 of the family's 1533-position model. The record is from RNAcentral.
AGAGUUUGAUCCUGGCUCAGAUUGAACGCUGGCGGCAGGCCUAACACAUGCAAGUCGAGCGGUAGAGAGAAGCUUGCUUCUCUUGAGAGCGGCGGACGGGUGAGUAAUGCCUAGGAAUCUGCCUGGUAGUGGGGGAUAACGUUCGGAAACGGACGCUAAUACCGCAUACGUCCUACGGGAGAAAGCAGGGGACCUUCGGGCCUUGCGCUAUCAGAUGAGCCUAGGUCGGAUUAGCUAGUUGGUGAGGUAAUGGCUCACCAAGGCGACGAUCCGUAACUGGUCUGAGAGGAUGAUCAGUCAAACUGGAACUGAGACACGGUCCAGACUCCUACGGGAGGCAGCAGUGGGGAAUAUUGGACAAUGGGCGAAAGCCUGAUCCAGCCAUGCCGCGUGUGUGAAGAAGGUCUUCGGAUUGUAAAGCACUUUAAGUUGGGAGGAAGGGUACUUACCUAAUAC